CCUGCCCAUUGAAUUUUUAAAAGGCCGCGGUAUUCUGACUGUGCAAAGGUAGCAUAAUAAUUAGCUUUUUAAUUGGAAGCUUGUAUGAAUGGUUGGACAAAGAAAUAACUGUCUUUAAUUUAUUAUUUGAACUUUACAUUUAAGUGAAAAGGCUUAAAUUAAUUUAAGGGACGAUAAGACCCUAUAAAGCUUUACAUUUUAUUUGUCUUUUUUGUUUAGAUGUAAUUAAAUUAAAAUACAAAAUAAUAUGUUGGAUUGGGGUGAUAAAGAUAUAAUAGAAAAACUGUCUUUUAAGAUAAAACAAAUAUAAUUGACUUUAGUUAAGGAUCCUUUAUAAAGAUUAAAAGUUCAAGUUACUUUAGGGAUAACAGCGUUAUUUUUUUUGAGAGUUCAUAUCGAAAAAAAAGUUUGCGACCUCGAUGUUGAAUUAAAAUUUUCCUUGUGGUGGAGAAGUUACAAGGGAAAGUCUGUUCGAC
RNAcentral lists this ribosomal RNA (476 nucleotides) under Galacantha spinosa. Its description in RNAcentral is "partial 16S ribosomal RNA". It matches the Rfam family "Bacterial large subunit ribosomal RNA", at positions 1858 to 2585 of the family's 2925-position model. The record is from RNAcentral. Lineage: Eukaryota; Metazoa; Arthropoda; Malacostraca; Decapoda; Munidopsidae.